GACGAACGCUGGCGGCGUGCUUAACACAUGCAAGUCGAACGGUGACCCAGGGCUUGCCCUGGUGAUCAGUGGCGAACGGGUGAGUAACACGUGGGCAACCUGCCCCUGACUUCGGGAUAACUCCUCGAAAGAGGAGCUAAUACCGGAUACGACCACUUCGGACAUCCGAUGGUGGUGGAAAGUUUUUCGGUCAGGGAUGGGCCCGCGGCCUAUCAGCUAGUUGGUGGGGUAAUGGCCUACCAAGGCGACGACGGGUAGCCGGCCUGAGAGGGCGACCGGGCCACACUGGGACUGAGACACGGCCCAGACUCCUACGGGAGGCAGCAGUGGGGAAUAUUGCGCAAUGGGCGAAAGCCUGACGCAGCGACGCCGCGUGAGGGAUG
RNAcentral lists this ribosomal RNA (383 nucleotides) under uncultured bacterium. RNAcentral's name for it is "bacterial SSU rRNA". It matches the Rfam family "Bacterial small subunit ribosomal RNA", at positions 28 to 410 of the family's 1533-position model. The record is from RNAcentral.